AGGAAUAAAUACACCUCAUGUCCCCCUGCUGCCAGUGCAGUGAUGAGAUGCAGGGCUGAGGGGCUGAGGAAGACGCUUCUGUGUCAAGGUAGAUUCUGCUGGUGGUCUAGUAUUGCCCAAACGGCUUCAGUAGGGAUAGGAAAGGCCCCCUGCUUGUUAACAAAGAAGAGGUGAAGGGCAGAGAACCUGGAUCCAUCUGAGAUCCGUGGGCUUUUUACUUUUUCAGCCAUUUGAGGGUUGACUGGCUCUAAGGAAAAGCUGUUUGCUGGCAGACACAGGUGGCUGGUGACAAAGGGAGCAGAGCAGGGGAAUGGAUAGCUCAAAACGAGCCUCACCACUCCUGAACAGAACAGUAAUCCCAGCUGUGUCCUUCGAGGGCAAAACUGGCUUACAGAAGAAAAAAGCAGGAACACCUGCAUUGGGCCCUGGCCCUUGGAGGUGCUCUGGGGGCUCGUGCCAAUGUCGUGAGGUACAUGUGGCUGCGGCCCCUUUUGGGCAUGUGGCCUGGGUUUGCUGACGGUCAGGAGGGUAAGGUCCUACCUUGAUCCCAGUGUGGCUCGCUCUGAGAAACCACAGCUCCCUCCUCUGGAGUCCCCUCUCCGAGCUCUCCAAGGGAAAAGACAAAGGAAGCCGAACUGCCAAGUUGAAGAUUUUGCCUCAGGCAACUAAAUUUAUUAGCAAGAAAAAAUUUUUGUCAGCCCAGCGCUGACCAACAAAGUACGUUAAUAAAGGAUAACAAAUCUGUCACUUAAUUCAUAAAACAUACCUCAAGCAGUUACAACUAAAAA
This is a long non-coding RNA of Rhinopithecus roxellana (golden snub-nosed monkey), 788 nucleotides long. RefSeq lists it as uncharacterized. The record is from RefSeq and is a predicted model, not a curated record. The transcript is spliced from 2 exons. Lineage: Eukaryota; Metazoa; Chordata; Mammalia; Primates; Cercopithecidae.